This 30-nucleotide non-coding RNA is filed under the name Homo sapiens (human). The record is from RNAcentral. Lineage: Eukaryota; Metazoa; Chordata; Mammalia; Primates; Hominidae.
UCUGGGUCUUAUCAAGGUGGGCUCCUUGUC